RNAcentral lists this microRNA precursor (78 nucleotides) under Ochotona princeps (American pika). Its description in RNAcentral is "miRNA (ENSOPRG00000023846.1)". Lineage: Eukaryota; Metazoa; Chordata; Mammalia; Lagomorpha; Ochotonidae. The record is from RNAcentral.
GCAGGGCUGAGAGCGGCUCGGAGCGAGCGAGCGCGGGCGCCGGGGCUGGCGGGGCCGGGGCCGGGGCCGGGGCCGAGC